Molecule: transfer RNA, 68 nt
Filed under: Halieutaea stellata (batfish)
Lineage: Eukaryota; Metazoa; Chordata; Actinopteri; Lophiiformes; Ogcocephalidae
Description: tRNA-Phe
Rfam family: tRNA
About the family: Transfer RNA (tRNA) molecules are approximately 80 nucleotides in length. Their secondary structure includes four short double-helical elements and three loops (D, anti-codon, and T loops).
Source: RNAcentral
GCACGUGUAGCUUAGGUAAAGCAUAACACUGAAGAUGUUAAGAUGGGCCUUAAAAAGCCCCACUAGCA